Molecule: non-coding RNA, 80 nt
Organism: Marinobacter sp.
Lineage: Bacteria; Pseudomonadati; Pseudomonadota; Gammaproteobacteria; Pseudomonadales; Marinobacteraceae
Source: Rfam
CUGAGAGACGAGCGAUCGCCUCUGAUCGCGUGGCAGAAAUCAGCAGAGGGCAUAGUAGGUUCGCCCGUGAACCGAAGGCC